This 232-nucleotide long non-coding RNA is filed under the name Capsicum annuum. RNAcentral's name for it is "long non-coding RNA (CANN_LNC008068)". The record is from RNAcentral. Lineage: Eukaryota; Viridiplantae; Streptophyta; Magnoliopsida; Solanales; Solanaceae.
AAACUCUCAUUUUCCAGAAAAAUGCUACGAUACUCUAAUGAAACAAAGCAAAUCCACCUCUUCUUUUAAAGUAAAUGUUUUGUUCUCAUGUUAUUAAAAAAAAAAUUCAUGUUUAUUCAUCACUAAUGAACACUUUGAGUUUUAAGUAUGCAACAUUUCUAAGGAAAAUAAACUAAUGUAGGGUUUAUUAGGAUGUUGAAUAAAUUGUUAAUGGAGUUAACAUUUGGUGAGG